UUAGUUCAGUUGGUAGAGCGCUCCACUGGAGAUGAAGAGGUUUCUGGUUCGAUACCAGGA
Molecule: transfer RNA, 60 nt
Filed under: Ixodes scapularis (black-legged tick)
Lineage: Eukaryota; Metazoa; Arthropoda; Arachnida; Ixodida; Ixodidae
Rfam family: tRNA
About the family: Transfer RNA (tRNA) molecules are approximately 80 nucleotides in length. Their secondary structure includes four short double-helical elements and three loops (D, anti-codon, and T loops). Further hydrogen bonds mediate the characteristic L-shaped molecular structure. tRNAs have two regions of fundamental functional importance: the anti-codon, which is responsible for specific mRNA codon recognition, and the 3' end, to which the tRNAs corresponding amino acid is attached (by aminoacyl-tRNA synthetases). tRNAs cope with the degeneracy of the genetic code in two manners: having more than one tRNA (with a specific anti-codon) for a particular amino acid; and 'wobble' base-pairing, i.e. permitting non-standard base-pairing at the 3rd anti-codon position.
Source: Rfam by way of RNAcentral